This 333-nucleotide ribosomal RNA is filed under the name Pachydactylus tsodiloensis. RNAcentral's name for it is "partial 12S ribosomal RNA". It matches the Rfam family "Bacterial small subunit ribosomal RNA", at positions 867 to 1366 of the family's 1533-position model. The record is from RNAcentral. Lineage: Eukaryota; Metazoa; Chordata; Lepidosauria; Squamata; Gekkonidae.
GCUCGCCAGAGAAUUACAAGCGCAAGCGCAAAACCCAAAGGACUUGACGGUGUCCCACAUCGACCUAGAGGAGCCUGUCCUAUAAUCGACACUCCACGUUUUACCUCUCCCCCUCUAGUAUUACAGCCUAUAUACCGCCGUCGCCAGCCCGCCUAAUGAUAGAUACCAAGCCGGCAAAAUUGUAUACCACAAAAACGUCAGGUCAAGGUGUAGCUCAUGAGCGGGUCAGAGAUGGGCUACAUUUCCCACAAUUGGAAAACGACUAAACACUCAAUGAAAAUAAGCCAUAAGGCGGAUUUAGCAGUAAGCGCGAAUAAGACAUGCCACACUGAA